CGGUGUUUAACUGGCGUGAUGUGGGACGUCCUACCGGUGGGCUUAGCCUCGCGAGGGGCGGCCCAACUAAUAUCCCGUCGCGGUGCUCUUUACUGAGUGUCGAGUCGGGCCGGUACGUUUACUUUGAACAAAUUAGAGUGCUUAAAGCAGGCUAUCCUCGCCUGAAUACUGCGUGCAUGGAAUAAUGGAAUAGGACCUCGGUUCUAUUUUGUUGGUUUUCGGAACCCCGAGGUAAUGAUUAAUAGGGACAGAUGGGGGCAUUCGUAUUGCGACGUUAGAGGUGAAAUUCUUGGAUCGUCGCAAGACGGACAGAAGCGAAAGCAUUUGCCAAAAAUGUUUUCAUUAAUCAAGAACGAAAGUUAGAGGUUCGAAGGCGAUCAGAUACCGCCCUAGUUCUAACCAUAAACGAUGCCAGCUAGCGAUCCGCCGAAGUUCCUCCGAUGACUCGGCGGGCAGCUUCCGGGAAACCAAAGCUUUUGGGUUCCGGGGGAAGUAUGGUUGCAAAGCUGAAACUUAAAGGAAUUGACGGAAGGGCACCACCAGGAGUGGAGCCUGCGGCUUAAUUUGACUCAACACGGGAAACCUCACCAGGCCCGGACACCGGAAGGAUUGACAGAUUGAUAGCUCUUUCUUGAUUCGGUGGGUGGUGGUGCAUGGCCGUUCUUAGUUGGUGGAGCGAUUUGUCUGGUUAAUUCCGAUAACGAACGAGACUCUAGCCUGCUAAAUAGGCGUACCUUAUGGUAUCGCGAAGGCCCCCGGCUUCGGCCGGUGGGUUUUUACUACCAACGUACAAACAAAUCUUCUUAGAGGGACAGGCGG
RNAcentral lists this ribosomal RNA (819 nucleotides) under uncultured eukaryote. RNAcentral's name for it is "SSU rRNA". It matches the Rfam family "Eukaryotic small subunit ribosomal RNA", at positions 629 to 1426 of the family's 1831-position model. The record is from RNAcentral.